Molecule: ribosomal RNA, 495 nt
Filed under: uncultured bacterium
Lineage: Bacteria
Description: partial 16S ribosomal RNA
Rfam family: Bacterial small subunit ribosomal RNA
Source: RNAcentral
GACGAACGCUGGCGGCGUGCCUAAUACAUGCAAGUAGAACGCUGAAGGAGGAGCUUGCUUCUCUGGAUGAGUUGCGAACGGGUGAGUAACGCGUAGGUAACCUGCCUGGUAGCGGGGGAUAACUAUUGGAAACGAUAGCUAAUACCGCAUAAGAGUAGAUGUUGCAUGACAUUUGCUUAAAAGGUGCAAUUGCAUCACUACCAGAUGGACCUGCGUUGUAUUAGCUAGUUGGUGGGGUAACGGCUCACCAAGGCGACGAUACAUAGCCGACCUGAGAGGGGGAUCGGCCACACUGGGACUGAGACACGGCCCAGACUCCUACGGGAGGCAGCAGUAGGGAAUCUUCGGCAAUGGACGGAAGUCUGACCGAGCAACGCCGCGUGAGUGAAGAAGGUUUUCGGAUCGUAAAGCUCUGUUGUAAGAGAAGAACGAGUGUGAGAGUGGAAAGUUCACACUGUGUCGGUAUCUUACCAGAAAGGGACGGCUAACUACGUG